Molecule: ribosomal RNA, 631 nt
Filed under: uncultured bacterium
Lineage: Bacteria
Description: bacterial SSU rRNA
Rfam family: Bacterial small subunit ribosomal RNA
Source: RNAcentral
CAAAGGGAUUACCGGUGGCGGAUGGGCAUGCGGCGCAUUAGCUAGUCGGCGGGGUAACGGCCCACCGAGGCGACGAUGCGUAGGGGUUCUGAGAGGAAGGUCCCCCACACUGGUACUGAGACACGGACCAGACUCCUACGGGAGGCAGCAGUGAGGAAUAUUGGUCAAUGGGCGCGAGCCUGAACCAGCCAAGUCGCGUGAGGGAUGACGGUCCUACGGAUUGUAAACCUCUUUUGCCGGGGAGCAAGCGUGCGUUCGUGAACGCGCGUCGAGAGUACCCGGAGAAAAAGCAUCGGCUAACUCCGUGCCAGCAGCCGCGGUAAUACGGAGGAUGCGAGCGUUAUCCGGAUUUAUUGGGUUUAAAGGGUGCGUAGGCGGGAUGCCAAGUCAGCGGUAAAAAUGCGGUGCUCAACGCCGUCGAGCCGUUGAAACUGGCGUUCUUGAGUGGGCGAGAAGUAUGCGGAAUGCGUGGUGUAGCGGUGAAAUGCAUAGAUAUCACGCAGAACUCCGAUUGCGAAGGCAGCAUACCGGCGCCCUACUGACGCUGAGGCACGAAAGCGUGGGUAUCGAACAGGAUUAGAUACCCUGGUAGUCCACGCAGUAAACGAUGAAUGCUAACUGUCCGGCUCGA